Molecule: non-coding RNA, 1520 nt
Organism: Arachis ipaensis
Lineage: Eukaryota; Viridiplantae; Streptophyta; Magnoliopsida; Fabales; Fabaceae
Source: RefSeq, a predicted model, not a curated record
AAAAAACUGGUAUAAAAUGGCAUAAACAUAAUGGCAAAUUUAAAACAUCGCCGUUAUAUUGAUAAACUGAGGCGGUUUGUGUGACUGCCGUAAUUUGCUUGUGGAACGGCGAUUCUUUAGCGAAUUUGGCGGUUUUAAACGGCAGUAUCUUAUUAUCUACUUCACUAAUAUAAAAAGUUAAAACCUAACUCUUAUAUUUUACUAAUAAAUACUGUGCUAAUCAAUCUAUGGAAACUCCAUCACAAUGUGAGAACCAAGAAGAAACUCCAUUGCAGCGGCGUGAGAUCUGCGAUCUCAUCCAUGACGCUCUCUUCUGGCGACUGGCGGCAAUCUCCUCAAUCAACGCUUUUCUUCCAGCUGCGAUCUCCUCCAUCAAAGUUUCCUGCUCCACUGUGUUGUGCUCUGUGAAGCUUCUCCUUCUCCAUCUUGGUUGAACUAGUUUUAUAUACAAAUGCACAUUCUCCUCUUUUAAUUACUCAUAUUUGUAUUUGCUAAUUGUUACUACUUCUAUUUCUUUAAUGCUAUGUUUUGAUUUUCUCUUUGUUAGCAGAAAUUGGGGGUAAGAUCUUCAUGAAAUUUCUUCGAUUUUUUUGCUUACAUGCAUGUAUACAAAUAUGCAUUCGCUUCGCGGUUUUGAUUUGUAGAUAUGCUCGUUGAUGCUGAUUUACAUAGCACAUGUUUGAUGAAUUGCUUCAAUGAAUUAAGAGCAGUUAUUUUCAGGUCCCAAGGAGGACAGUCGGGUUUCAGAAGCAACUCGAAGAGCUGUGCAAGAAGAAGCGGAAAGGCUAAUUUUGCAGAAAAUUCCACUCCAGAAAAUUUUGUUUGAGAUUAUGUUUAAGUAUGGCUUGAAGGGUGUGAACAAUGAUGUGGAGAGAUGCUUGUCACUGUGUGUGGAGGAAAGAAUGCGUGGACUGAUAAGUAACCUGAUUAGAAUGUCAAAACAGCGGGUUGAUUUUGAGAAGACAAGACAUCAGACUGUUGUCACCUCAAAUGUUUAGCCGCAAAUCAUGACAAUAAAUAGGAAAGUAAGAGAGGAGUGGGAGAAAAGACGGAUAGAAGCAGAGAAGCUUCUGAAACAAAUGACGCUAUGACAAUGGCAUUAUCCCGGCAUCAUCAUUCGGUACUUAUCAUACUCCACUCAACAAGCAUAUUUACUAUGUUAAUUCCAUGAGGGCUGCUCAAGAGUUUGCUUCAAGAGUUUCUGAUUCUUUUUAAGGGGCAACCGUGGUCGAGAUUGCUUCAGGAAUCUGCUGUCAAAGAAUAUGGCAAGUCUGGAGACCCCUUUCUUCAUUCAAUCCCAUUUCAGCACACAACCUGCUCGAUGAAAUGCUUCAACUAAAUUCUGCCCUUAUCAAUGCUUUUAUGACAGAACUGGAACCUGAUUCUCCGGUUAUCCAGGUACAUUAUGUUUGAACUUUGCAGGUUCGAGCUGGUUCUGGUAGUAUUUCUUCUGGGGCUGCUGACAAAAUUCAGCUGGCUCGUUCUGAGAUCUGGAAUGCUAGAGAAUGCCUUAACCUAUA